CUCCCUCCUGCGCAGCCGGGAGGCCUCGGUCGCUCUGGGCCCGUCCCCGUCCCCGUCCCCCCGUCCCCCCGUCCCCCCCCCCCCAUGGCAGCCCAGCCCUCGCAACCUCCUCGGCUUCAGGGCCUGAUGGCGGCGGGCGGCUCUGGAAGGGGUGAGGAGCGCGGCCCCGCCCGAGCGAGCGGGCCGGAGCAGGCAGGCAGGCAGCAGACCCGCCCUUCCCACCGGCGCUGAGGCAGUGAAGGGGGCGGCGGGGCGGGGCGGGCUGCCGGCAGGAUGUGGGCCGGGACGGAGCUGAGCGGCGCGGUAGGAGCACGGAGCGGAGGUGGUGCCACGGUUACCGCCUCUGAGGAAGGUUCCAACCAGCCUGUGCUCGUCCUGGUAAUCCCUCAGCCCCACCCCCAUAGGGCUCCCAGUGGUAACUGGGUGGGGUCAGGUGUAGCGGCAGGCCCCUCCUCUGCUGGAGCGUGCGGGCAUCUAUCUACACGCUGAGAACGGUUAAAAUCAACACCUUCGUUUUACAUUCAGGCAGUGGUUAGACGCAGUGUGCUGUAGGAGCCCACCGCUCCAUGUCUUGAGCUUGUUAGAUCAAGGCCUUGACUUCGCUGCCUGAUCCACCCACAGGUUUUUGCCAUUCAAGUGAAGUGCUGCCCCGUGGAAGCAUCAUGCUGCAGGGGAGGGUCAGGUUGGCUAUCAGGAGAGGGUUCUUCACUAACAGUAUCUACCAAACAAGUUUCAGACAAUGUCCAGCAACCUUGUUUGGACCUCAUGAGUAAAACCACAUUCCUUCAGAAAGUUCUUUUUCUGCCCUGUGUUGGGUGCAGUGUUUUUCAUCAGCAUUGCAAGGUUCCAAGCAUGGUACGCCCAUGCAUUGCUACUGGAACAGGUUACCCAAGGAGGCUGUGGAUGCCCCAUCCCUGGCAGCAUUCAAGGCCAGGCUGGAUGUGGCUCUGGGCAGCCUGGUCUGGUGGCUGGCAACCGUGCACAUAGCAGGGGGGUGAAACUAGGUGGUCAUUGUGGUCCUUUUCAACCCAGGCCAUUCUAUGAUUCCUCAGCCAUCUUAGCCACUUGCAACGCCCUUUAUUUCUCCCAAAUAACCCUCCCCUCAACUCUUUUCCCUGUUGUUCCCAGUCUGGCUACAUCUAUACCUGUAUUCAGUAUUUCUGAUACCAUUACUUAGCUUAUCUUGACCUUGUGUGGUAUUGCUGAGGUAGUGACAUGGUUAUUGGGCGCCAUUAACCCUGCAAGUUCCCAGUCCCAAAUGGACUUCCAAACUCUUUGGUUAUUUCUGUCGUUCAGCUGUUUUUCAUGCAACGCCUACCUAACCACCAGUGAAAUCCAGCCACCCCUCCCAGGGCUAUCUGCAGCUUUUUUUAGCUUCUCAUGCUGUUUCACGUCACAUCCAGCAAUUUCACCCUGAGCAAUCAGCUCAGCUGAUUUGCCUGCAGCUCCAACAGGUACCUGUCUGCUUGGGAAGGGGUUACCUGGUCUAGCUGGGCAUGACCAGCCUUCUUGACACAACUAUCAGAGCUGCUUUUGGGAAUUCUGUCCCCUCCAAAAAUUACAUCAGAAAGAUGUAGUUUAAAUAGCAUGAGGAGUAGCAAUUUGUUACUCUAAUCCAUGGGAAGUAAAAUGGUUAGGGGAGUUACUGCAUAAGCAGUUUUCAGCAGAGCUGACUGCAGCUGCUCUCAAUCUGAAAUUGUUUGCACCUAUAUUUCCCAGGUCUGUGGCUUCGGGAUUGUGCCUGUGUGUUAACCUUUUCCCAGUUGCUGCCAAGCAAUGUCUGGAUGAAAGGUUACAUUCCAAAUAAUUGUUUAUCCAUAGCAAAUAUUGGAGGGUAAUACAACCAGCCACUUCAAUCUAAUCUACACUGUGGAAGCAGCCCAGGUUUUAAGAAGCAUUUCUAGCAUGUUUUCAUAAACAUGUAAUCAAACGCAUAGAUAAAACACAACCUCUUAAUAUAUUCUAGUUAUUACAUUUUAGCUAUUGGCCUACUGCCAUUAUACUUUAUUGAAGCUAUUAAAAUGUUAUUAAAGACUUUCUCUCCCUUAACCCAGAGCAGUUUCCUUUUCUGAGCUGCGUGCUAGCACUGCAGACUGCUCUCCAGUAGGCUAGCUGCAUACUGACAGGACUAAACUUGCACAUCCACACUGCCAGGAAGUCUGAGUCUACGCUGGCACUCCAGGAGCUCCACAAGAUCUCCGAAAGGCUCCCUCUGUAGUGACUGCUGUGCACCUCAACUGCUGCUGCUGCUGAGCAUUCUCACCAACGUGGAAUGAGGGCUGAGAUCCAAAGUGAAACAGCUGUCAUGCUUUGAUAAGCAACAUGCCUGCAGAAAGGAUGCAAGAGUCCUACUGAGAGAAUCUAUCAGCUUUUCUUUGGCCUACAAAGUUCAGGUUUGGUAGAUUACUGCAUUUUAAUCUUUCAUAGGAUUAUUAUAUAGUAGAUAACCAAUACUGUAUUUGGUUACACUGAACUUUCAAGUCUUGUAGUCUAGAUCCAUCUAGGUCUGUACUUAAACUCUCUUCAUUUUACUCUCUCCUCCCUCCUGUCAUCUUAUAUGUAUUACAGGUUUCUUUCAUUAUAUUAAUGGUAGAAUUUUUCUGAGUUAUAGAUUUAGAAGAUUUUAGAUCGCAAAAGGAACAUCUCAUUUAAGAGGGGACAGUGCCGGACUUCAAAGUCUCACAGUCUUUAAGCUGGAAAAUUCUACUAAAAUUUAAAAGCACAUCAUAUGUCUUUUGUCAGUUAAAGCAAAUAUUUCUAUAAUUGCUCCCUUUGUAUUCUUUUGGUCAUACAUUUUUAUUAUUAUUUAUGAGUAGUCCUAAUUUUAGGGAAUUCCACUAUAAAAAGGCCUUAGUUUUGCUUACUGCUGUAAGCAACUGUCUGGUGAAAAAUAAAUUAAACCACUGCAGUCACAGUCACAUAAUAGCCAAUCCUCUGUACAGUAAUGCAUUGUAAAUAGAAUUACACGUUUGUGGAAUGUGGAAUAUUUCUUUUGUUAAAUAUGCCAAUGUAAAAACAC
Long non-coding RNA from Gallus gallus (chicken), 3019 nucleotides. RefSeq lists it as uncharacterized. Lineage: Eukaryota; Metazoa; Chordata; Aves; Galliformes; Phasianidae. The transcript is spliced from 2 exons. The record is from RefSeq and is a predicted model, not a curated record.